CCUACGGGUGGCAGCAGUGAGGAAUAUUGGUCAAUGGGCGGGAGCCUGAACCAGCCAAGUCGCGUGAGGGAAGACGGUCCUACGGAUUGUAAACCUCUUUUGCCGGGGAGCAACGGGGUCCUUGCGAGGGCCCGAUGAGAGUACCCGGAGAAAAAGCAUCGGCUAACUCCGUGCCAGCAGCCGCGGUAAUACGGAGGAUGCGAGCGUUAUCCGGAUUUAUUGGGUUUAAAGGGUGCGUAGGCUGUGAGGUAAGUCAGCGGUGAAAUGCCCCCGCUCAACGGGGUGAAGUGCCAUUGAUACUGCCUGGCUGGAAUGCGGAUGCCGUAGGAGGAAUGUGUGGUGUAGCGGUGAAAUGCAUAGAUAUCACACAGAACACCGGUUGCGAAGGCGUCUCACGAAUCCGCGAUUGACGCUGAUGCACGAAAGCGUGGGUAUCAAACAGGAUUAGAUACCCGUGUAGUC
RNAcentral lists this ribosomal RNA (462 nucleotides) under uncultured bacterium. RNAcentral's name for it is "partial 16S ribosomal RNA". It matches the Rfam family "Bacterial small subunit ribosomal RNA", at positions 338 to 795 of the family's 1533-position model. The record is from RNAcentral.